Molecule: long non-coding RNA, 596 nt
Organism: Gopherus flavomarginatus (Mexican gopher tortoise)
Lineage: Eukaryota; Metazoa; Chordata; Testudines; Testudinidae
Exons: 2
Source: RefSeq, a predicted model, not a curated record
GCGAGCGCGCGAGCGCAACUCCUCCUCCUCCCCUCCGCAUGCCUGGCGCUUCCUUCCUGCCGCGGCACAGGGCGCUUCCGGCUUUGAGACGAGUGGCUUUCCACCUCCACACCCUAGAAAUUUCCACAGUAAAGCACGAGUGAGAAAAUUGGAGAGUUAAUUGAGAAGACUGGAACCAGGAGCAAUACUUUUUCAUGCUCAUUUGAUCUGCAUUUAACUGACAAAGAGACCAUGAAACUAUAUGUACAUACACACACAGAGGAAAAUGUGAAAUGGCUGCUGUGGAGCAUCUUUCACUGUACACCACACAAAAUACACAUUAAAGGUUACAGAGGAAAGUACGAUAUAUUAUUUUAUAAAUUGUAUAUGACCAUGUCAUUAAUUAUUGUACUGGAGAGGGAAAUGGUUAAGAUUGUGCAACCUUGACAUUUCCUCAGUUUUAAGUGUCUAACUGUAUACAUUUAAAAUUUAAUGAAAUCCUAACUGAAAUGAUUUAACCUAAUUGACAUAUUGUUUUUGUCUUCACUGAAACAUUUCUCUGCAGUGUUUGCAACUCAAACGUCAGUGUUAGUGCAUGAAUAAAAAAAAUAAACUUC